Neopelma chrysocephalum (saffron-crested tyrant-manakin) is the source of this 13980-nucleotide long non-coding RNA. RefSeq lists it as uncharacterized. The transcript has 5 exons. Lineage: Eukaryota; Metazoa; Chordata; Aves; Passeriformes; Pipridae. The record is from RefSeq and is a predicted model, not a curated record.
CAGUCCAUUUUUCACUUGUCUUUAAGUGCAAGUGAUGGGAAUUGCUAACCUCGGCUAAGAAAAUUUCAUUUCCCCCCUCCUGCUAAACGGUUCUGGUCGACAUAUGUUUGUUAUCAGAGAGAGGUGCUAUGAACACAGAGCCAUUUUCUUAGCAGCUCUUUGACUCUGUGUUACCAUAGUCCCACACGGCAUUGGUCCUUUCCCGUUGGGAAGUCAUGAAUAAGAGACUAUGAAGCUUGCACGUCAGAUCUUCCUCAAUUAAUCCACCAUUAGCAUGUUUGGGAUCCUCUACUGGAUGGUUAACAGCAGCUUUGGUAACUGUAUGCUGUCCAUACCCAAUUAUGCUCUGCUAAAAAUGAACUCUGCAGAACAACCUUCCUGAGCUGUCAGUGUCUCCCGUUUUCCUAUUUUAACGCUUGUGUGUAGUGGCAGGCGACAGAUGGUGUAGAUCAGAUCGAUUUGAUUGCAUUAGGCGAUUUUUUUUUCCCUCCUCUCCCCCCCGACUCCUUUUCUGGAAGCCCACAUUCAUCUGAGAGGCGAUCGCCGGGGACAUGGGAAGCAAGAGCAGCCGCCGAUGUGUGAAAGCAACGAGACAUGGCCAGCCAGAGGCGCCGGGGUCCCUUCACGGGGUUUGUUAACAUGGUAAUCCGGCACCAGGAGAGAAAGCUGCUUUCUGCUGCCCAGAGCCCAUUCCCCAUCACACAUCAGAUGACUCCCUGGUUUUACACACAGUUGGAGUUCUGCUCGAAACCUGGAUUUAAAGGCUGCCAUUUAGAAUACGACUUGAGAGCUUGCUGUUUAGAGGAAUACAGGAAAUUACACCUACAAUGAGAUUAAAAUAGAGGAGAGUGUGUUGGAAAUAUUUUUUAAUUAUUUAAGGAAUCUGUUGCUGCGUAUGACAUCUCUUGCAAGCUCCCAGAGAGAAUUGAUGGAGCAUACAGCUAGGGAAUAGGAUACCAGAGAAGCACAGAGGAAGAAACCAGGCAAUUACCAGGAUGGGAAGGUUCAGCGUCCAUUGGAUAUGGGACAAGAUCGCUCGGCAAUCCUUGUGGAUUCUCCUUCUUCUAGAGGCGAAUUAUAGUUAUGGAUUUAUUGUCCCGGUGCCGCACUUCCACCACCACCACCAGCAACAGCAGCAGCUUUCUGACUCUCUUCGGUGACGGGUAUUCUUGGGUGGAUAAUACGGAUUACGUUGUUAUUGCUUAAGAAUACGCGUAGUCGAGGAGAGUACCGGCGGCGGGCAGGCAGGCAGGCAGGCAGCGCGACCGCCCCCAGCCCACCAGCUGGCUCCUCACCUCCUCUAGUUGCCAAGGUCCAGAGAUGAAAAUGGCUGCUCAUCAGCACCGAGCCUGAAAUGCCAGUGCUGGAUCUGUCACUGAUGAACCGUUUUGAUUCAGAGUGUUGAAGGCAUCUUCAGGAGGUGAGAGCUGAGCACCAGAGCACCUCUGUUCUGUCCGCAGAACAGCAUUACCUCUGUCUUGCAUGCAGCCUACCCUGUCACAUUGCUGGUUUAUUAAAAAAAAAAAUCAAAACAAAAUAAUAAUAAUAAUAAACAAACAAACAAACAAACAAAAGUUAGCAGGAUGUCAUGUUCUUGACAAAAUACUGGGGAGAAGACAGAGGCAUCGAUACAGAUGUAGUCACAGAUAUGUGCUGGGGCUGCUUUGCUGUGCUAUAGGCUUGUUCUUGCUUGAACUUGAAAUUCCUGUAGAAGGGAUGUUUAUGCCAGAAUGACAGUGGUGUGUAGCCCCAGGGAAACAUCAAAGGCUGGAGAGCCUCAGCACUCCCUGGAGAGGCAGGCCUGUCUGUCUGUGGAAGCAGAGCCCUGUUUUGACUGGGGGUGUCCUAUCUCCAUGUGGCUCUAAGGCAUAUGGAAUUGUUCAGCUGGCUUAAAGACAUGAUGUUUCUUUUCAAUAUUUAUUGUUCGAAGGAUCCUUACAUGCACGAGAACAUCUUGUACUCUGUAAGGACCGGCAUGCUGCUGUGGCUGUACCCACAGCUUGCUGUGUUCAGAGAGACGCAGGUGUCAUCUCCAUGCAGGGGAAGAUGGUCCUACUUUGCUGGUGUGAGGUGUUUAGUGUAAUUCCCAGGUUUGUUUGAAUAAAGUUGAAUAAUUGGCUUGUUGUAGCAGACCCAACCCCACCACGUGAACAUCAUUCGCAUGUCACAGCAACAGCCCCAAUCCAGCUCCCUUGCUCAGAGGAUGGUAGGGAACAUCUUGGUGAUCACUGGGAGCCUCAGUGCAAACAGGGAAACAACAGGGUAAUGAGCAGGACUGUGACAGACCUUGGUGUCUAAUCCUGGUCUUUUGAGCCUCCCCUUAUCCACAUCAUUAGUAUUUGUUAAGUGGUGAAUUUUUGGAAACAUGCAAUAUUUUCACUUUCCUCUUUUCCUUUUUAAAUAUGAUUCACAUGAAACUGCUAAUAUGAAAAGAAUAUUUCAACACCUUGUUUAGUAAAAAUGGGCUCAAGGAAAGCAGGUACAAAUUGCACAGCAAAUUUUUAGCCUAAAUAUUAAAGAAAAUAUAUUUUAUUCUUGUCUAUCCUGAGAUUAAAGAGAAAAAAAAAUAGAGUGGUCAAGGUAAGUAAUUGUAGCACACCAUCUGUUGUGUAUUUCCUCAAGAUCUUUCCAGUCGUACAGAAUAAUGGCAUUUCUGAACUUCAAUAACUUCCACGCAAAAAGGUACAUCAUUUUGACAGGACUCAGUAAAUCAUUUAAAAUCAUAAGGGCUACCAUUAUGCAGACUGUGUGAUAAAGUUAGAGACAGGGUAUUUUUCUGCAAUGCGUCUUCAAUUUCACUCUAGAUUUUCGGUGACAUAAAGCUCAAAAGGAGCUCCUGGUACUACUCUCCCAGAGAUGAGAUCAACACUUAUGAGUACAUGUUUUGAUGACACAGCUCAGAAAAUUGAAGGGAUUAUUAUUAUGGAAGGACCAAGGUGAUAAGUACUGUGUUAUAUAUGAAUAACUGUCAAUCAGACAAGCCAAGAAAGGUCAUAAUCCAUUAUAUUAAUGUCAUAAAUGUUACCAUAAACUGACAUUGAGAUGGUAAACUGGGAUUCUUGCACUUUUUAAAGUGUUGCUGUUCUUAAAUGACAGUGUGUCCUGGAAAGACGAGUAUUAAUUUUUCUCUCAAAAUACAGGACUUUAAAGAUUUUCAGCAUAACAGAAGUAGUAUUUCAAACAUUCAUAUUUUAUUUUAAAGAAACUGGCUGAAUUGUCACAACAGUAUCCAAGAUACCAUGAACAGGUAAGGGACGAGAAACACAAUAAUUUCUAUUUACUGUCCCCCAUUGCUUUAUUUGAACUGUGGCUUUCACACCUGCCUCCCUCAGGCACUUCCAGGCCUCUUGCCCACAUAUUGGGGUCCACUCCAGCUGAGGAUGGGGGCAGCAGCAAGGCAGAGGUGGGAGCUCCUGCCCUGGCUGCUGACCACCUGAAGCCAGGACACUGCACCCUUCUGCAAAUCACUCCCCUGACAUUAAUAUUUUUUCCAAUAUCAAAUAUGAACUGAGGCGAUAUUCAGGAAUGUGUGACAGUGGAAUGAGAGAGUGUAAAUCAUAUUUUAUAUCUUUUGUGUUGCUGAGCAUUUUCCCACCCACAGAGAGCAGGCAGCUCAAUGGAUGUUGCCAGUGCAUGGCUCCUCUGAAUUCAUCCCAGGCUCCCAGAGGAGUAUCACCAGGGACAGAGAAAGCAGCCUACUCUCUAAUGAGUCUUUCUUCUUGCCAGCACCACUGGGUGCUCCAUCCUUUGCUGGCCAGUUAAGAGCCAGGAGGAAAUUAUUGUCACCUCAUGUAAAUCUGCUCAUAGCAUAGACUUCCAAGUGAGAGUAAGGGAGGUGAACUCUGAGCCCACCAAAAUCAAAGCCUUGUGUCCACAUUCACUAGCACUAAAAAUUCUACAAAUGAGUGGUAUCACCCUGAAGUGUGGGUGCAUGGGAGGUAAAAUAACUACCCAGUUAGCACUGGACCACUUAGUUUCCAAUGUUGGGGGGAAUGAAAAUGCAAGAGGAAUUUAAGGUGAGUUUUCACAUCCCAUGCAGAGGCCAAAAAAGAAAAGCAGGGUAAGUACUUCUGGAAAGUGCCAUGCUGUAUUUACUGGCCACAUCAGAUCAGAGCGAUAGUUUUAUGUCAUACUUAAAAUGCAACAUGUCCAGCAGACUCAUGCUGAUGUAUGGUUGUGAUAACAUUGACGUAGGCAGGAGACAGCCACCAGUGAGUCACCACACCACUUCCUUCAGAAGCUAGCUGUCUACGGUAGGCAUCCCAUUGCACUGCUGAUCUAGUCUAGCUUGUAAAUUACCCAUCUAGUCUAGUUUGUACAAUCUACAAAUAAUCCGUGUUUGUGCUAUGCAGGUAAAUGUUCAGGGUGAAACCAAUAUGGGAUAACUUGAAUUGUAUAAAUAACUGCAAAUCAUUACCUCAAAUGAGAGCAUAAUGCCUGGAACCACAGGCAGGAAAAUACAUUUACAGACUAUCAAAUUAUCUUGGGAUAAUAGUGUAAUGCUUUUCACUGCUGCACUCUGUGUUCUUAUAGCUGAGCAAAUAAUAUUACACCUGGAAAAGUCUCCGAAUUUCAAAGGGAAGAGAUUUCGUAAGCAGAGUGCUUCCACAGGAGAGACUGCCUUUUCUGUGUUAUUUUAGGGGAACAUUAAAAAACCCCCAAUAAACCAAAUAAGUUAUUUUUUAUUACUCAGAGCUACAUAGAGUAACAUCUGAUGAUAAACAAAGCCUUUAAACAAUUUGUCUUUUUAUAAUAUAACCUGCAAAGCGCUUCCUUGUUCAUAUGAGGUUACUUCUCUCUGUGAUUGCAACAAAACUCUUUUGAUCAAAUGUGUUUUCAGAACUGGCAAAACAAAAUCAAGCUGCUAUAGCAGUUUGCAUGCACAAGUUCUGUUUGAAUAUAAAAAAUUUUGAGCACAUUUUUAGAGAAAAAAUGUGGCCUUUGAAAUUUUGGAACUAAAGCUAUAUAUGUAUAUGCCAUAGUGCUAUUUAUGAUGUCUGUAGAAGUAUAUGACACCCAAAGUGCUUUUUGGAUGCUCCAAGGUAUAUCAAAGGGCAUUAAUUCCAGCACAGCUGGGAGUGUUCCCAGAUUCACUUAUGAAUGCAUAUUUCUUAUAUCCUGUAUGUUGACUAGAGUUAACAUACAGAAAAAAGUUAAUAUAGCCUUGGUCAUGGAGAAUAAUCCACAGAGUAAGCCUAUUAGGUGAGUUUUAGCAUCUACAUUUUUCUGUUCACAUCUGCUUGCCUGACAUAUGUAAUCUGCCUGGAUGUCACAGUUUACAUCCUAUUUUCAUUGGAGGAUAAUGAAACUUGAUCGGUGUCUUCAUCUCCUUCUCGGUCUCUCCAAGGAAUAUUUCUGCUUGUCAGCUCCUCCUCACCAGCACUCUCUGGUGUGAUCUUUAGCCAGUCCUCUAUUAAAGGGUAGUGCACGCAAGGCUUGAAGGAAACCAUACAAUUUCUCAUUGUUUGUGCAAAAUGGGUGCAAAACGUGUUACUUCUAAGACAGUAAGAAAAUAAAAAGUGAUAUAGUAAUUUCCUAACCUGAAUUUUCUGUACUUCCUUUUCUCUCACAAAGCUCUGGCGUAUCAGUAUUUUAGCAGCACUCAGUCAGUGGUUGCUUUCUGACGACUUAUGUUUCUGCUUAAGUCUUACAAAACUGCACUGUAGGCACCUCAAUAAUUUUAGAAUAGCUUAGUCUGAGAGGUAAAUUAAAAUUAUGGAAAAUCAGACCAUUUCUAAUGAGAUGGUUAUUACACUGAAUAAUGAUGAUUAUUAGUUCUGCUUAAUAAAACUGUCAUCCAAUGCAAAAUAUAUAUUGGGGAAAUUACAUUACAUUAUAUUUCUAUCAACUCAGAAAUUCGGUGUGUUGCUUUCCCACAAACCAUAGGCAUAAGGAAAUGUUAGACAGGGCUUCCUUUUCCAAAUAGGAUCAAUCAUGGAGCUUUCAGAAACAGCCCUUUAAAGCCCUGAUCUAAAGCCCAUUAAAUCUAAUGUUAUGAAGAUUUCUGCUGACUUCUGUGCCACGUAGAUCAGGACUUCGCUAAAGUGAGCAGUGUUCUCUCCCAUUGUUUCUGCUAAAUACCUAGACAAUACUACAGUGGUGACUAUUUGACAGUAUUGUUAGCCUACUAAAGGAGAAAAACUUGUAGAAACAUUUGCAGCCCCCUUGCCUCACUGACCUCAUUGGCACACCUGCUGUUCUGUUCUGAUGUACCUGGCAAAUUAGGAGAUGGACUCUACAGGAUGAGCUACACUCUUUAUUUCCAAGAUGAAAACAAUGAGGAAUAUUAUCUAUUGGCUAAAAAUGAGAUCUUGCUGUAAAAACCUCAACACUGAAGCCCCAGACGCUUAGAGGUGAGACAACUCCCCAGAAGCCUUUUGGCUGUCCAGAGACACGACUGGCCAGGAAAUCUGAGUGCUCAGCAUUUUUUUGUUUAAAAGCAGGCGCAAUAUCAAACCUUGCCUUCAGCAAGGACUGCUGUCCUGAGGAAUGAGACCCAUCCCUCUGGGAGGGUGGCUGCCUGCCUCUAUACUGCUACAUCUAUAUGGCAGUAAACUGCCAAAGGGGAAGGAAGGAAGGAGGGGGGGAAGCCAAGAGUGUGUUUCUGCUACCACACCUUCUCUGUGUAGGGUUUAAUCUAAAAGGAUAUGUUUUUGUGGAAUAAUUUGAUAUAAACUAAGCCACAUUUUUCUUACAGAAAGGUGUCUAUUAUAGCUACAACAGUGCAUUUUAUAGAGUCUAAGAGAGAUUAAAUAAGCAGCAAACACUGCAUGACUCACUAUGCAUCUGUGCAAACCGACUCAGUGAAACCAGGGCACGGAGGUGAUUGGGUCUGUCUGUGGUGCAUGUUGAAACCUGGAGAAACAUAGAUUUUGCCAUAUAAUUUUAUUUUUUGAGAGCAAUAAUGCUCUUACAAAGAGCAAUGCAUUAAAUGAGGAUAACAUGGUUAAUAAGUCAUAGCACAUGUGGUUCUAAGGUUUUCAUCAUGCUUUGAAACAUGUACUAAUCAACAAGAUUUCUCCUCUUGUGAAGCCUAUUUUGUAGAGUUUCAUAAACCAGGUUCAACAGACACAAUUUCAUUAGCAUUAUAUUGUUGCCAUGGUAAUGUGGUACCAAUUCAAUUGAUGGGCUUUUCAUCCUGGGCUUAUUACAGAAUUGCUCUUCCUGUCAAAGAUACAUCUAUAUGGAAACAGCAAACAGACCUUAUUAUUGGAGUACUAGCACAAAAUAUCAUCAUAUGCUAAUUUGGAUAGGAAUGUGUCAUGUUAUUGGCACCAGACCCAGAAAUCAUCAGAGACACAAUAGAAGUUACUAAACAUCAUACAUGACAAAGUCACACUCCAAAAUCAGGAAAGUUACUUGUAUUGUUCACUGCAGUACCUGAGUUUGCUAUUGCAAAAGCACUUGGCUCUGCUAUAAUCAUUCUCUGAAAUGCUGUUGGGAGGGCAGAGUGCAAGUGGUAAUAUUCAAGGAAACAAAAGUAGUAACACGCCCAAGAAUAAAAUGUGAGCUGAUGGUGUGUUGGUCCUUCUCCUGUUUGAAUGUUGUGCAGCAGGUUUUGGGGAAAUUGGUACCACAUGUGACACCCUGUUUUCCUGGUCUGUAAAACCAUGAUAAUAAACCCUCUCCCCCUGUGCAGAGCAGCUGGUGUAUACCAAAUAAUGAGUGAUAGCUGGUACUGCUAAAUAUUGUUAUUAAGUAAAGUAGCAAUGUUUUUAACAGUUCUGGGAAAAUACACAGUUUGAGAAAUGCCACUGGGAGAAUCUGGACUCACCCAGGGAAACACAGGAGAGUUGGCAGACCGAGCAGGUAACAGUGCAUAUGCACCUAUGGAGGAAAGAUACUCACAUCAUUAAAAAAUCAUGACAGUUUGUAGUUUUUUAAAAAUAAAGAAUAUUUUAGGCUACGGGAGAAGUAUCUGCAGCAAUCUGAGCAAGAAGAGCAACAAUACAAUAUAAGGCAACAGCAGGGUGGCUUGUUUAUUGUAUGUUAAAACAUUUUCUUGUGUAUUUUCACUGUUUUUUGAUGAUUGCUUCCUAUUUAGAUAGGAAAAAUCUUUUUCCAUCCUGACACAUUAUGUUCAGUCUAUCGUUUCUUAGCUUAAUCAUGUUGUAUCGUUUGCAGCAGCAAGAGUAAAUUACAGACAGGAUAGUAUUCGGUAUAAUCAAAGAUGUGUUCCAUUUUACAUGAUAAGUUUUGUCUGAUUUACAAAGGCAGUAUCUUCUCCAGCUGAGUGAGGAAAGAGAGACCUUCACUUGCAGAUAAAAAAACUCAGAGAAGAGGCUUCUCCUCCAUUAGGAACCUAUUGUUCAUACAAAGAAAACCCAAACUAUUGUUACCACUAUUAUCUAUUUAUUUACUUUUACCGUGAUGUAGCCACAGGACCCAGCUGAGACUGGGACCUACUUGUGCUAAGCACAGCAAAAACAUACAGUGCCACAGCCCCUUCUUCAGACAAUUUAUAAACUAAAGAGCCAUAAGAGAGACCAGAGAGGAUAGAAGAAUAGAGAGAGGGAGACAUAGCUUAAGUAACCGACUGAAGGUCAGAGAAGAAGCGAGUGGCAGAAGCAGCACAAGUCUCCAGUCCCUGUACCCUCCAUUGGGUUGCCUGCCCUGUUGGGAGAAGGAGGUAUUUGGAGAUAUCCUCCACCAGACUCUAAGGAUUCACACUCUAACUCAUGCACAGAGCCAUGCUUUACCCCCUAAUUUCAAUGGCUGCAUCUGUGUUGCUGAGCAGGGGCAGCCCGAGGCAAAGCUUGAAGUCCGCUGUGAAGCCCACCAGCAUUACCUAUUAAAACACCUUCAGGCUGGCUCCAGGGCAACCCUGUUAAUCCUCUCAGGGACAAAGGCUCAGGGAUACCCUAUGUUUUUUAAGCAUGUUCAAGGGCACCAGGGUCAGGGUACCUGCCAGAGAAAUAUUAAUGGGUUUCAACACCACAACCGAAGCAAUAGGGAUCAGGCUUUCUUCCUCUGCAGUAGGGACUUUCAAAUCCAAGCCUGAACAGAUGGAGGGAGGUGGGGGAAAGAGGGGAGAUUUUGGUCACAAGAGCAAGAAGUCAGUUUGCACUAGAAUUUGAAAGCUUUGAUCAGGAAGCAAUGUGAUGUCUUAGAUUAGGAAAGCAUUGGCUUGGAGUUUUUCUUGCUUUCUCCUUCUCUCUCUCCCCCUCUCAAAAAUCCAUAUAAUGUAAAACAGUUAAACUGGGCGAAGAGGCAUUCAUCUUCUGAUCGGUAAAUACUUCCUUUCACUGUGUGGUGCCUGCUGACUUUACUGCUGUUGCAGCCUUUUAAAAUGCUUCCAGGAAAUCUCAUUAGAUUUUAACUUUAAUUUUUUUUUCAUUAAGGAAUCUGAAGAGAGUGUAUAAUAAUCUCAAUUUAACUUUUUAAUAAAAACUGCAAAUAAUAGGCUAGCACAGAUUUGAUAUCAUAUAUAUAUUGGAUAAAAAUUCUGAUUUGUAGUAAGAUUUGUUAGCCAGGGGUUUGUUGUCAUCAUAAUAAUGAAUAUAAAAGCUGGCAGCUUUAAAAUGGCAAUAUUACAGUAAGCCUACAUUUUUUAUAAUGGUUUUGUGUUGUGCAUUCAGUAUUGAUGAAGAUUAAGAUUUAGCAUGCAGAAGUAAUAUCCAUUUUUAUGGGAUUGUCCACAGUGAAUUGAGUAGGACAUUUGCUUAAUUAAAAGUAUUUAUCUUAGAUGAUUUAAGAAGUAUGUCCUACUACUGAACUGAUGAUGUAAAUUAGUUUCCUAUAAUCAGUUCACCACUAAUGACUCCUUAUACUAAAGAGAAGAAGAAAAAAGUAAGAGAAGAGUCAAAGGAAAGUAAAAGAUGCCACUGUCUGAGAAUUCAAUAGAACUUUGGAAAUAAUGAUUAAUUAACACUAUGCCAUGAACAGGAAAUCUACAUUAUUACAUCCCUAAUGCAAAGAACAUAAACAGAGCCCUAAAAGGGUGCACUUCUGGCAGAAAGUUUGGAAAUACAACCAUAAACAAACGCCCAGAUUCCCACUCCUACCCACUGGACCUGUGCCUCAGAGGCACUGGCAUUUGGGGAGCAGAGCUUGAGGAUAAGAGGUGGCAGAGAGCCUGGGGUGGGAUGAAGCCCUGUGGCAUGGUGUCUUGUGGGGUCUUGGCAGGGGCUGUCCCUGGCUUUGGGCAGGAUGCCAGGGUGCCGAACUACUGCAGCUGCUGAAUUUGGGCAGAAUGGAGAGCAAGGCCAGAGCUACAGGGAGGGCAGGACCUGGUGUGACCUGCUUCUCUGGGUGGUUUUAAAUCUGUUUAUAAAGACAUACUGGGUAGUUUUAUAGAAAUGUACCGUGUGGUUUAAUCUGUUAUGCAAACAUACUUCUAAGGGAGAGUCCCAAUGGGUGGAAUGUUUCAACCUAUCUCAAUGUUACAGCUGUACAGCCUAAGUUUCGUGGACUAGCCCAUCUUCCUUCCUUCCUCACCAUGCCAAAUGACCCAUGGAAAGCUGUAGAUCUUCAGUCUGUGGGGACAAUCUAACAACAGCAACUUCUGGGGGUGCUGCUACAAGGUAGGGCCACAUCUAACCCUAUCAAACCAUCCCAUCAGCUCAGGUGUGCUGCUCACAUGAAAAGCUCAUGACUCACUGCAGAGACUUACUUGUCUGCUUCUUGGGAAACUUCCUGCCUGCAAGGCUGCCCCCUGAGACAACUAGACCCUCCAUCAGCCAGGCCCAAAAAUCACUUGCUGAAUAGUUUUGGCUGAGGCUUUUUGACAAAAUCUUCACAGAUAGAGCCGAGAGGACAGGCAAGAAAUAUUUCUACUCUUCAUGCCACAACUUGUUUUUUCAUUAUUUCUUCUUGUCUCCUUUUACACUCCAGGCAUUUUUCUUUCUACAUAGACUAAUAGGAAGAAAUGCUGUGUCCUACUCCAGUAAUUUAAUUUAUUUUUUUUAGUUCUAAUUAUGAGCAUUCACAUAGCAAGUGACAUUUAUUGAUAUAUGUUACCUUUCUGAAACACUAGAAAAGUAUCUGGCCUGUUCUCUGCUAAUGCUUAGAUGACAUUUUAGGAACAGGAACCACCCUGCAAAGGGCUGGGCAUGUGCACAGGAUAUGAGCUGUCAGUGAAGUGUAUUGAAUCUGGUUUUGAUCUGUUCAUGUAAUUUUCCAGGUGAGCCUUGGACUCUGCCUACGGUCUGUGCUCCCAGAUGUCAGCCCACGAUGGCAGAUGGAGGGACACCCGGAGCUCUGCUUCCCCCAGGCACUGCACUGGGCAUUUGCUGCUCCCAGAGCUGCCACACGCCACGGGACCCCCAGCUGCCGGAUGCCUGACCCAGCUCGACUGCUGGUGGAGAUGUGUUGGGGCUGGCUUUGCCCUGCUUGCUGCUGCCUGCAUGCCUUAUUCUUCUGACUUAUGCCCCAGCCCACUCCCGUCCCAUUGUGCUGCUGCCUCUGGGCUGUAUUGAGUUUUCAAUUAUCACAAUAUACAAUGCAGAUGCUAUGUAAAACAGCCAGCAUCGCUGGAGCACGCUGAACUCAGUAGAAACACAGUUAAAUAAAAGUAAUACUAUAAUACCAGGAGGCUGAUUGGAACCACAAGAUACCAGUGUGAUAUCCUGUGGCUUUUAUGUUGGUAGACCUAGAUUUUAGCCAUUAGAGUCUAGCUAUCCAACAGAUAACAACCAGAGAAAAUGGGUCUGGGUAUUUUCAAUUGUGAAUAACUGAUACACAUUUGCCAAUAAAUGGAGGACUUGGUAAACUGCCAGAUGAAGAAAACAUUUGACAUACAUACAAAUAUAAUCAGGCAUUUAAUAUGGCGUAGCAUCUAACUAUGUGUAACUUAAAGAAACUCCCUGAUUACACACAAUACCUUUAAAGUAUACCAUCAAGAGAGCUCUGACUUCAGACAAGCAAUGUGUGGUUGCACUAUCAACUCCAAAUUCAGUCAAGGAGAUAAACAGCAAGUGUGGGUCUCAACUUAUAUAUUUGUACCAGCAGCAACAACCUCCCAGAUGAUAAUGAUAUUGUAAUAUCUGUGUGGGGGUAAAUGCUAUGACAAAAGAGGAAGAAAUAAGAAAAAAUAUAGUAAUGUCAAGUUUGUCUGUUAACUUUUAGAAAAGCUCAACAUCUGGAAUUUUAGUAUGUGUUAUGCAGACGAAUGUAAAGAGAGAAACAUAUUAACUGUGUUUUUCUACAAAGCAAAAUGAAAUAAGCAUACAGAGCAAAUUAUUAUAUUUAGUACUCUCAGGGCAAAUUCUAGUUGAGGAUUGUGAAGUAAUUUCAAAAUAUUAAUGAAUUAGCCUCACAGCUAUCUUUCAGGUGGAUAAUAAUGAUAAUUAUUACUACAAAUAAAUAUUAUUAUUAUCAGUCUUGCUCCAAGAAAUGAACAUUGAUGCAUAGAGAAUUUAUGUCUUUGUCCCAAGUCUGUGUUUUACUACUGUAACCAUCCUUCUCUAGAACUAUCAUAUAUUAAGAUUAUCAUUUUCCAAAUACUGUGUGUGAUACUAUUCACUUUAUAAGGUCUAAAAACCAGCCAACUGAGCUUCCUUGUGAAACAGUGCCAGUGAACAUCUCCAUUUGCAUUUGAAUUCUCAAGCAGCAACAAUCUGCAAAAAAAGAAGAAAAAAGGAAUCAUGAAAAUCCGUACAAAAUCUGUCAAGGCCCCAUCUGUGACUGGGUAUCAGAAUAUCACUAAGAAGCUCUGAGAAACAAAGUUCAUUCCAAGUCUAACGCAUAGUGCUUUUUGGUCGAUGAAAUUAAUUCAAGCAGGGGUAAAUGAGGGCACAUACCAUGAAAAACUCUGUUCCUCCACUGAGGGUGGAAGGAAAGCAGCAUCACUGCUGUGUGUGUGGUCUUGGUUUUGGUGCACGUAGCUGUGUUUAAACACUAAAGGUUUUACAAGGCAAAAUAAUCAGUGUGCUCAUGACUCCUUUUGAUACCAGGUACACCUGCUGCUCUUCUGACGAGUAUAAGGGAAUGAGUGAUCUCUGGUCCUGACAAGAUGAGGACUUAGAUUACAUAUGAUUGUUGCAAAAAGCAGGCUUUUGUAGCCAGCUACCUUAAGUAGUACGGAAACAAAACUCCACCCUGGCCUUGAAAAUCCCCUACAAACAUAUUUAUUUCCUUCUGCAUGGCAAUAUAUAAAGGUUAGGAACACUUAUUUGUAGGCUAUUUUUACAUCUCCUCUUCAGGAUCUGAAUCUUGCAUAUUAAUGAAUUAACUCAAGGAAACAGGAGAACCAAAACAUUAACGCCAUUCUAAUGCACUCUAUUAUUUUUCUUUUCCUUUUUUUUACUGUUAGAGUAUGCAAAUGUUCAGUUAACUGGUCCUCAUGUUUUCUCUUUAUUGAAUCGCUUUCACUACAGCAAAUAAAUAUUCAUAAAGAAAUGUGGACAAUAAAUCAUUUUAAAUAGUUCAAAGCCAUUUUCUUUCUAGACUGCAUAUAUUUUCAGCUGUAACUCGCCUUUAAUAUUUCAUUCAAAAGACAGACUUGUAGAAGGACAAUAGAGAUAAUGUGUCAAGUAGUAAUUAAAACAGGGAGUAAUGAUUAAAACCAUUUUGAUCUACAUUGUGCUCUGCCAGAUUCAUAAUCUCCUGUGUUUGUUAGGAUGGCUUUCUACUUGCUUUAUACAGAAACUCAAAAUAAACUUCUGUUUGAAGACACCGAAGAACACAAAAGAUUUCAACCCUGAGCUUGUGGGUCCAGAGCCCUUUCCAGUUCUGGAGUUCAGGUAUAUCUUCUGUACCAUCCUAGCAAGAUAAAUGCAAGCAGGCACUAUCCCUCCUGCUGAUACUGUGACUUCUCUGGGAAGUAAAUCCAGAUGCAGAGCAGAAGACAAGGAAGGGCCACCCCAGUGUGUACAGGUAAAUGUAACCCGUCUCACCAUUUAGAUUUAAGCUAAGAGCUUCAAAAGAAAUGAAAGUUAAAGAUAAGAUUAGCUUAUACGUUUAGGGAUCUUGGUUCAAAUCCAAGUAAGAAUUGUGUUCCUUGUCUCAUUGUAUGUUUUGGUAUUCAUAAACAUAUUUGGC